GCACCCGUAGCUCAGUGGUCAGAGCACGCAGCGUUGAAGCGACUGCGGGUCAGCGGUUCGAAUCCGCUCGGGAGCA
Molecule: non-coding RNA, 76 nt
Organism: Rhypophila decipiens
Lineage: Eukaryota; Fungi; Ascomycota; Sordariomycetes; Sordariales; Naviculisporaceae
Source: the annotation of a GenBank genome assembly